AUUGAACGCUGGCGGCAGGCCUAACACAUGCAAGUCGAGCGGAUGAAGGGAGCUUGCUCCUGGCUUCAGCGGCGGACGGGUGAGUAAUGCCUAGGAAUCUGCCUGGUAGUGGGGGAUAACGUCCGGAAACGGGCGCUAAUACCGCAUACGUCCUUAGGGAGAAAGUGGGGGAUCUUCGGACCUCACGCUAUCAGAUGAGCCUAGGUCGGAUUAGCUAGUUGGUGGGGUAAAGGCCUACCAAGGCGACGAUCCGUAACUGGUCUGAGAGGAUGAUCAGUCACACUGGAACUGAGACACGGUCCAGACUCCUACGGGAGGCAGCAGUGGGGAAUAUUGGACAAUGGGCGAAAGCCUGAUCCAGCCAUGCCGCGUGUGUGAAGAAGGUCUUCGGAUUGUAAAGCACUUUAAGUUGGGAGGAAGGACAGUAAGUUAAUACCUUGCUGUUUUGACGUUACCAACAGAGUAAGCACCGGCUAACUUCGUG
This 484-nucleotide ribosomal RNA is filed under the name uncultured bacterium. RNAcentral's name for it is "partial 16S ribosomal RNA". It matches the Rfam family "Bacterial small subunit ribosomal RNA", at positions 30 to 507 of the family's 1533-position model. The record is from RNAcentral.